AUGGCUGAGCUGAAGCUAUGCUUGUGCUUCUUGCUCCUCUGUGUACAUGUCCAUCAUGCGACCGCUAUCUCGUUCAGCUACAACUCCUUCCGCUCCGGUGAUUUCAGAGAGGAGGAUGACGCGAUGGUCACCGACGGCAGGAUUGAGCUCGUCGGCGACGAGGCCGGCGGUCGAGCAAGGGGCCGCGUCCUGUACAAGCAGGCGGUGCAGCUCUGGGACGGCGUCAAGGGCGAGACGGCCAGCUUCACCACGAGCUUCAACUUCAGCAUCCAGUCCCUGCCUGGCCGGAGCAGCACCCCCGGGCACGGCAUGACGUUCUUCGUCGCGCCCUACAUGCCCGAAAUGCCGCAGGAGUCCUACGACGGCUGCCUUGGGCUCUUCGACGAGAAACAUGCCCCGAAGAACGGGACGACGAUUAUCUCGGCCAACGCCUCCGGCAGCGCCAGCUUCGUCGCCGUAGAGUUCGACACCCACCGUGACGCGUGGGACCCCAGCAGCCGGUACAUCGGCGUAGACGUGAACAACGUCGACUCACGCGGCAACUUCAGGAUCUUGCCGGAAGGCAGCCUCGUGGACGCCGGCGUGAUGUCUUCGACGGUGACCUACGACAACGCCACGUCGUGGCUGGACGUCGUCCUCCGCGACAGUGGUGCCGAGUAUGCCCUCGGCGCCACCGUCGACUUGCGAAGCUUGCUGCCGGAGCAGGUCGCGUUAGGCUUCUCGGCGGCCACCGGUGAUGCCUUCGGCAGCAGUCACACGUUACUCUCGUGGUCCUUCCACUCCACGCUCCCGACAAGGAACUACACGGCCCUCCCAUCUACCUCGUCAACCAAGAAGGCCACCCUACCACUCAUAGCCGGGGUUGCCGCCGCAGCCGUGGUGGCGCUCCUGCUCGCGGUCACCGUGGCGGUGCUGCUCCGUCGUGCGAGCAGGAGAAACAGGCAAACAGACGACAAAGACAUGCUCGCCGGCGACAUGACUCCGGACUCCCUCGAUGCCGACGGCGAUGAGUUCGGUUCCAGCACGGGACCCCGGCCGAUCCCGUACGCCAGCCUAGCGGCGGCGACGAGGAACUUCGCGGAGGAAGGGAGGCUGGGGCAGGGCGGAUCCGGGUCGGUGUACCGGGGCCACAUGAAAGAACUCGGCGGCCGCGAUGUCGCGGUCAAGGUAUUCCUCCGAGGGGCGUCCUUGGAGGGGAGGAAGGAGUACAGGUCGGAGGUCACCAUCAUCAGCAGACUGCGUCACCGGAAUCAUGUGCAGCUAACCGGCUGGUGCCAUGGCCGCAGGCGGCUGCUGCUGGUCUACGAGCUCGUCCACAACGGCAGCCUCGAUGGGUACCUCUACAGCAACACCAAAAACGACGUUCUGACUUGGCAAGUUAGAUACCAGAUCAUUCUUGGACUGGCGUCUGCCGUGCUGUACCUCCACCAAGAAUGGGAUCAAUGCGUCGUCCAUGGUGACAUUAAGCCGAGCAACAUCAUGCUGGACGAGUCCUUCAACACCAAGCUAGGCGACUUUGGCCUGUCGCGGCUCAUCGACCACGGCAUGAGCUUGCAGACAAUGACCGCCAUGGCGGGAACCCCGGGCUACCUCGACCCGGAGUGCGUCAUCACCGGUAAGGCGUCCACCGAGUCCGACAUGUACAGCUUCGGUGUCACGCUGCUGGAGAUCGUGUGCGGGCGGCGACCGAUGGCGCCGCCCAGCGCCGGUGCGAGGGACGGCCAGGUGUUCCGGCUGCUGGAGUGGGUUUGGGACCUCUAUGGCAGGGGCGCCGCCCUCGACGCCGCUGACGAGCGUCUCGGCGGCGUGUUCGACCGGUGGGAGAUGGAGAGGGUGGUAGCCGUUGGGCUGUGGUCCGCGCACCCGGACCCAAAGAUGAGGCCGGCGAUGAGGCAGGCAGCCGAGGCGCUGCAGUCAAGGAAGUUCAGGAUGCCGGUGCUGCCGUCCAAGAUGCCGGUGGCCGUGUACCUGCAGCCUUUCGGAGAUUCCGCCAUGGAGUACGGCGACAGCACCACCACGGUUGGGUCCGGGGUUACCACGCAGCAGUACUCGUCGACCAGCUGUACAACAGCGACGCAAUCUUCAAAUACUAGCAUGCCGGCGGCUGUAAGUGAGGAGUUGAACCCCAAUAUAGAGUAG
This 2139-nucleotide ribosomal RNA is filed under the name Triticum aestivum (bread wheat). RNAcentral's name for it is "partial small subunit ribosomal RNA". The record is from RNAcentral. Lineage: Eukaryota; Viridiplantae; Streptophyta; Magnoliopsida; Poales; Poaceae.